Molecule: ribosomal RNA, 255 nt
Filed under: uncultured bacterium
Lineage: Bacteria
Description: partial 16S ribosomal RNA
Rfam family: Bacterial small subunit ribosomal RNA
Source: RNAcentral
CAAAAGUGAAGCGAGACGGCGACGUUAAGCAAAUCACAAAAACCCAAGUCCCAGUUCGGAUUGCAGUCUGCAACUCGACUGCAUGAAGCUGGAAUCGCUAGUAAUCGCGCAUCAGCCACGGCGCGGUGAAUACGUUCCCGGGCCUUGUACACACCGCCCGUCAAGCCAUGGAAGCCGGGAGUGCCUGAAGUGCGUGACCGCAAGGAGCGUCCUAAGGCAAUACCGGUGACUGGGGCUAAGUCGUAACAAGGUACC